This is a long non-coding RNA of Rhodamnia argentea, 1060 nucleotides long. RefSeq lists it as uncharacterized. The record is from RefSeq and is a predicted model, not a curated record. The transcript has 3 exons. Lineage: Eukaryota; Viridiplantae; Streptophyta; Magnoliopsida; Myrtales; Myrtaceae.
CACAUGUGGAGUUGUUUAGACUAGUGAACUCAUCCAACACAUUUCCAUUAUUGACUCACGAUAUAAGGAAAGAACUACUGCAGAAAGUAGUAGAACGGUCACCAAGAAAUCAACCGACAGAUGUUUCUGGAGCACCUUUUCUUAUGCAGAGGGAACUCCAGUGGUUUAAGGUACUGGAAGCUACGAGCGAUCCUUCUUCUAAAAGGGAGAAAUUUUAGAAGAUGCUGCCAGAUAGCAUCAAUCCUACUUCAAAAAGUCGGAACUGGGAUGAUUUCGUAGAAAAUCGCAAACCAUUGCUCCAAGUGGCAGGGCAAUGGAUGAAGGAUAGAUCAGAAUCUUGUAUCCUCGUCUCGACUCUCAUCAUCACGGUAGCUUUUGCUGGGGCUUUCACAGCACCAGGAGGCAAUGACAGCAGUACAGGGAUGCCAAUCUUUUUGAAAAAGGGCUCCUUCAUGGUAUUCACAGUUGCAGACGCUCUCGCCCUCUUCUCCUCCGUCACCGCCACCUUGAUGUUCUUGGCUAUCCUAACGUCACGCUAUCUGGCAGAAGAUUUCCUCAGCUCACUGCCAACAAAGAUGAUAUUGGGCCUCACUUUUCUCUUCCUCUCAUUGGCCUUUAUGCUGGUAUUAUUCAGCUCUGCUCUUACCCUCAUCUUGAGCGAGCAACUGACGUGGAUUUACGUCCCGAUUACUUUCUUGGCUGCCAUCCCUGUCGCAUUGUUCGCAAUCCUACAUCUUCCCUUGUAUUUUGAAAUGAUGGUAUCCACCUAUUGUCCUCGCCUCUAUCAUCCCCUGAAGCUCUGGAAAUAAUGCUGGCUUAUUAGGGGACGAGGACUUUUGUGGUGAUCUUUGUUUGCACUUGCUACUGGGCGUGACUUGCGAAUAUUAUGGUGUGUACUAAUGUUUUAAGACUUUUAAAGAGUGACGUCAGCCAUACUUAUACUAGAGUUUAAUGUAUGCACACCCCUUGUCUCAAUGUGUUAUUUGUAUGCUUCAUUGCUCUUCGUCGUAUUAAAGUGAACCUAAUUUCUCAAAGAUUCAGCAAAGUGGCCAUCGAUAUU